GUAGUCAUAUGCUUGUCUCAAAGAUUAAGCCAUGCAUGUCUAAGUAUAAGCAAUUAUACCGCGAAACUGCGAAUGGCUCAUUAAAUCAGUUAUCGUUUAUUUGAUAGUACCUUACUACAUGGAUAACCGUGGUAAUUCUAGAGCUAAUACAUGCUAAAAAUCCCGACUUCGGAAGGGGUGUAUUUAUUAGAUUAAAAACCAAUGCCCUUCGGGGCUCUCUGGUGAUUCAUAAUAACUUCUCGAAUCGCACGGCCUUGCGCCGGCGAUGGUUCAUUCAAAUUUCUGCCCUAUCAACUUUCGACGGCUGGGUCUUGGCCAGCCGUGGUGACAACGGGUAACGGAGGGUUAGGGCUCGACCCCGGAGAAGGAGCCUGAGAAACGGCUACUACAUCCAAGGAAGGCAGCAGGCGCGCAAAUUACCCAAUCCCGACACGGGGAGGUAGUGACAAUAAAUACUGAUACAGGGCUCUUUCGGGUCUUGUAAUUGGAAUGAGUACAAUUUAAAUCCCUUAACGAGGAACAAUUGGAGGGCAAGUCUGGUGCCAGCAGCC
Molecule: ribosomal RNA, 551 nt
Filed under: uncultured fungus
Lineage: Eukaryota; Fungi
Description: SSU rRNA
Rfam family: Eukaryotic small subunit ribosomal RNA
Source: RNAcentral